CCGACCGACCGCCGACCGCCGGGCCCCAAGUGCCAGCUGUGAGGCUGGGUUCGCAUCUGCCCUUCCUGCCGUGGGCGUCUGAGAGGCGCAGGAGCCUCUUCUGUGGUUCAGAGGCUUUGGGGGCAGGUGUCCAGCUCCGUCAGGGCUUCUGCCAGGGCCGCUGGCCCGGCCGAGCCAUGUCCUCGGUGGUCAGGCUCAGGGAUGCGUGACAGGGCAGGCACUGGCAUUGCCUAGCAGGCUACUGAAAUCCCGCUGCACUCCUGGAGCCCCCCUGCCACCCACCUGCGCGUUUGUCCUUCAUUCUGCAGUAGCUAAGCUGGCACCUGCCCAGCUUGUGGCAGUGCAGACCCAGCAGGGGGCCCUGGGUUCCCCUCACUCCUCCACCUGGAUGUAAUGGAACCUUGUGGCCGUUGACAUGGAUGAUUCUGGUCCCAGAUGACCCUGAAUUCGCAUUCCACUUGGCCCUUGCUGCGUGCUGGGCAAGUCGUUUCUAGCCCUCUCUGAACUCUCCACAGAGAGCUGCUUGAACCCCAAGGUUGGCUGUAUGGUGGAGGGGUGCAGCUUAGAGACAAGAAGAGCAGCCAUCAUCUGACACCCUCCAGCCUGGACCAGGUGUACACAGAUUCUGACUUUGAGUUCAUUGUCAAAUGGAGAUUUCCCCCAAAGGCUGGAUUCCUUGUUUUUCCUGAAAACCGGGGCAGUUGAGCAACAGCAGGCUAUACAGCAUGGCCAGUGAGCUACGUCCAGCCCUGGGAUCCACCCAGGCAGGGCCCUGGAGGCAUCGGGCUCACUACCCAUGACCCUGUUUCACACCCCGGGAGUUCAGGGAUCUGCAGCCCCAGGCCGGAUGGGGAAGGAACAGCAGGGCCACUGACUCCCUGCAGCUGUGUGCUGUGUGCCUCCUGGGCUGCCAAGGGCCUGGAGCCCCUGUGCAGACACACCCUCUAAGGCCACCCGGCAAGAGCUGGCCGGGGCUCCUUUGCAGCAAAUGGCAUUUCUGGGAUGUCAGCCUGGAGCUGCCAGCAGCCUCCAGUCAGCCAGGUGGAAGAACCAACCCAGAGAAAGCAGAGCCAGGACACGGAGAGAGGCAAAUUCCUGACCAAAGCUCUAAGCACCUGGAUCCAGCUGUGCCUGAAGCUGAAAUACCCGAACUUGAAUAAGGUCAAUAAAUUUCUUUUCUGAUUAAAUCAACCAACCAAGAAAGUUCCAAGGUGCCAUCUCCAAGUGAGGAGUUUGGGCCGCCAACUAUCCUUAUCUUGAUGCUGCCUGCCUUUACUCCACUGUUUUCCAAACUUCUUUUUCCACAGAACCUUUCCCUUCAAAGAACAGUUGGUACUGUGGUAAGGAAGUAAAUGCAUCGUGGCACGUGCCCACCAGAGACUCUGAGGUCUCCCUGGGGGCUGCCCAGCCCCCCCCCCGCCAUCCUCCAGCUGCAAGCAGCGUGCAGCCCCAGUGCUGUGCCCCCUGGCUGCUCCCUCAGGGUCUCCCUGCCCUGCAGGCCCUGGAAGAACGACCAGGGAUCAAUGGGCAGGGAGGCCCACCUGAACACCUGUUCUUCUGGGAGGGUGGCGGAUGGGAGGCAGGUGGGCCCAUGACUAGGGGCCGUGUUGGGACCUCCCCCAGCCCAGGUGGGUGGCAGGUGGAGUGAGACAGAGGCCCCCGAAGCGUGGGGGUCCCCAGUCCUCGUGAAUGGGGACCGUGGGUCCUGAGCCGCCAGCCCCGUGUCAGACACUCCAGGCCCGAAAGAGGCCUGUGCUGUGUCCCUGCCUAGGGUGGUGGGGGGCGGUGACUGUCCAGGACUCCGCUGGGCUUCAGCCCUGAGAGCCUGCAGGAUGACUGGUCAGGUCGGCAAGGAGGGGCUGCUUGGGUCCUGCCCUCGGCAGAGGCUCGGGCCCCAGUAUCAAGGACACUUCCCAGCCAGGGGCACCUGAGCCCUGUCCCAGGGCCUCAAGGGCGCGACGAGGUGGCUCAGGCCUGGACACUCCUGGGCACGGGAGAGACAGGAAGAACCACAGCCCCUGGUCUGAGCAAUCAGGCUGGCUGUGGCGGGUUGAUGGCAGCUCUGACCAGUGUCCCCAAGCAGGCUGUGCCCCAGGGUGACCAAAGGGGACAGGUGCGCAUGUGGUGGGGGCCAUGCUCAGAGAAAGGUGGUCCGGAAGGCAGGCCCUUUGGACAGAGAUCACACAGGACGGUGUGUUUGUCUGUUUAUUGGGGAGUAUGUUACAUGCAAGAUCCCAAACUAGAGAGACGACCUCUGGAAGGGGAGCCAGUGGGUGGAUGGACGCGCUGCCGCUGACCGCCCUCCAGACCCACUGCUGGCAGAGACACACGACAGUGACAGAACGCCAGGCUGGGGGAUGGCCGGACACCAAACCUGAGAGCCCCUCACGCAUGAAGUGCAAACUCGAGGAGAUAAAUAUCCGCCCCUUCCUCCAGGAGCACCUGGAGUGACGCAGUGAGACUCCGGGGUUGACAGCUGCUCUGGGGGCACGAGGGGCAGGAAGGGCUGGCACUGGGCACACACCUAGCCCGCGGGGUGAAGCGGAUCUGCCCCGGUGGAGGACGGGGUGGGGCCCAGGGUCCAGAGGGUGCGUGGUGCAGAGGCUGGUGCGGGCAGCGGGUGCUUCUCCCUCGCUGGCCCAGGGCCCCUGGACCGAGUUAGAAGCGUGUGGGGGCAAAGUGGAGCCGUGGCAGCAGGAAGGAAUAGGAGGAGCGGGAGCGUGGGCGCGAGCAGCCGUCUGCCCCGGGAUGCCCCAGGAAUCCACCCACUGCUGCCCAGGGCCUCAGCCCUUGCCACCCCCACCCCGCUGGGCCCCUGGGUGCUGUGAAGGCAGUGAGCCAAGGCGAGGUCAGGACAGACAGCAGUCACGCACACCCAGGGGCUGACGGACAGACGGGACAGACAAGACGACCACCUUUCCCUCUGGCCCAGGCCAGCGACGGGCCACUGCAGCCGCUGACCCUUGUUCUGUGCGCGCAGCUAAGCCAGGCACGUGUCUGCCUGCGCGGUGCCUGGGGGUCCUGGGCGGCCACUCCGGGGCAGGUUGGCCAAAGGCCCACCAGUGCCCGAGUCAGAUGGCACUUAUUCCCAUUUGCUGCUGUCCGCUGGCCCAAAGGCAGGCAGGAUAUGGUUAGUUUUCACAGCUCAGCACACAAA
This is a non-coding RNA of Sus scrofa (pig), 3157 nucleotides long. The record is from RefSeq and is a predicted model, not a curated record. NCBI's taxonomy places the organism in Eukaryota, Metazoa, Chordata, Mammalia, Artiodactyla, Suidae.